Molecule: long non-coding RNA, 309 nt
Organism: Vidua macroura (Pin-tailed whydah)
Lineage: Eukaryota; Metazoa; Chordata; Aves; Passeriformes; Viduidae
Exons: 2
Source: RefSeq, a predicted model, not a curated record
GGCCGUGGAGCUGGGGCCUCCAGGCACAGAGGUCACUGGCAGUGAAGAGCCUCCAUUCCAGGCAAUAUGCUGGAAAUCAUCCCAGUGCCCAGUCCAGGAUGGAUUUGAUAAAUGAUGAGCCCUUUGAGAGGAAAAUUUCCAGUGGCAGGAGGACCUGUAGCCAGGAUUGACUCGAGGAACACAGGACACAUCCCUGCAAACACAUUCUCUGCAAAAAUGAGACCAGUUCUGGAUUUCCUGCCCUUGAAAGGACAGAGCUGGCACCACCUCUUGGCUUUAAACUGACAUUAAAAGGACCUUGUUCCCUGU